UGGGGAAUCUUGCGCAAUGGGGAAACCCUGACGCAGCGACGCCGCGUGAGUGAUGAAGGCCUUCGGGUUGUAAAGCUCUGUGGAGAGGGACGAAUAAGUGUGGUCGAAUAGGCCGCAUGAUGACGGUACCUUUUUAGCAAGCACCGGCUAACUCUGUGCCAGCAGCCGCGGUAAGACAGAGGGUGCAAACGUUGUUCGGAAUUACUGGGCGUAAAGCGCGUGUAGGCUGCUCGGAAAGUCGGGUGUGAAAGCCCUGGGCUCAACCUAGGAAGUGCACUCGAAACUUCCGAGCUGGAGUUUCGGAGAGGAAGGCGGAAUUCUCGGUGUAGAGGUGAAAUUCGUAGAUAUCGAGAGGAACAUCGGUGGCGAAGGCGGCCUUCUGGACGAUGACUGACGCUGAGACGCGAAAGCGUGGGGAGCAAACAGGAUAGAUACCCUGGUAGUCCACGCCGUAAACGAGUGGGUGCGUAGGUGUCGCGGG
RNAcentral lists this ribosomal RNA (481 nucleotides) under uncultured Pseudomonadota bacterium. RNAcentral describes it as "bacterial SSU rRNA". It matches the Rfam family "Bacterial small subunit ribosomal RNA", at positions 355 to 829 of the family's 1533-position model. The record is from RNAcentral. Lineage: Bacteria; Pseudomonadati; Pseudomonadota.